Apis florea (little honeybee) is the source of this 234-nucleotide long non-coding RNA. NCBI's taxonomy places the organism in Eukaryota, Metazoa, Arthropoda, Insecta, Hymenoptera, Apidae. The record is from RefSeq and is a predicted model, not a curated record.
UUAAUCGUGGAAAAGCAUUUAGAAAAUAAUCAACACCCACUACGUUACCAGCUCGCGAAACAAGGAACGAUCAUUCCGCCAUUGCAGGCCAGGAACGAGAAAGGAGAACGCUCGUACGUCGAUUCCAACCGAGCUCGAGGAGAAGUCUCGAGGUCGAAAUCAAAGAACUUCCGUCGAGGGAUGAGCGACGUGGAUCGUUAAACCAAAAAAAAAAAAAAAAGAAGGAAAGAAAAG